AUGAGCCUUAAUUUUUCUCUAGUGGUCUCCAUCAUAAUUAAAACAGAACGUGAUCUGCUUUUAUGCUUCCUUCUCAGCCUUUUGGACUGCUCAAAUGCUGGUUUCCCUAGGCUUCUUCACGAAUGUGCAAGAGCACAUGUGCCAGGAACACUACCUGCUUGCCCGGACACUCAGACCCCACCAGAACUCCACACCACCACUGAGGUUUCCAAUCAGCACCUCUUCCCAGGAGCAGGACCACCACCUCUCAGUCCCACAGCCACUCCAAGUAAGUCUUGCUCUUGCAGAUCACUUCUCUGGUGUUUUGGGAUGGGUACCAUGCUAAUGCCAGUGGACAAGUGGCAUGGGCUGAGGGCUCUUCACCUCUUUCACCCAUCCACACUGAAGAGGCAAGGGCAGAGGGACUUCAUCUUCUCUUUGAUCAGCG
Molecule: long non-coding RNA, 427 nt
Organism: Numida meleagris (helmeted guineafowl)
Lineage: Eukaryota; Metazoa; Chordata; Aves; Galliformes; Numididae
Source: Ensembl